AACGAACGCUGGCGGCAUGCCUAACACAUGCAAGUCGAACGAUCCCUUCGGGGAUAGUUGCGCACGGGUGAGGAACGCGUGGGAACUUGCCCUUAGGUUCGGAAUAAUUCAGAGAGAUUUGAGUUAAUACCGGUUAAUGUCUUCGGACUAAAGAUUUUGCGCCUUUGGGUGGGCGUGCGUUGGAUUAGCUAGUUGGUUGGGUAAAAGCCUACCAAGGCGACGAUCCAUGGCUGGUGUGAGAGGAUGAUCAGCCACACUGGGACUGAGGCACGGCGCAGACACGUACGCGACGCAGCAGAGGGGAAUAUUACGCAAGGCGCCAGAGCCUAAUCCAGCAAAGACUCGUGAGUAGAGAAGGAGUUAGCGUUGUAAAGCUCUUGUCCCCGGCAUGAUACUGACAGUACCGGGAAAAUAAGCCCCGGCUAACUCCGUG
This 433-nucleotide ribosomal RNA is filed under the name uncultured bacterium. RNAcentral's name for it is "partial 16S ribosomal RNA". It matches the Rfam family "Bacterial small subunit ribosomal RNA", at positions 29 to 507 of the family's 1533-position model. The record is from RNAcentral.